Long non-coding RNA from Anopheles merus, 326 nucleotides. RefSeq lists it as uncharacterized. The transcript has 2 exons. NCBI's taxonomy places the organism in Eukaryota, Metazoa, Arthropoda, Insecta, Diptera, Culicidae. The record is from RefSeq and is a predicted model, not a curated record.
GCUACCGGCAACACUUUCGUUCCGCUAUUGCACUUGACCCGAACUAGGACCGUGACGGCACUGACGAACUUGCGGCAGCGAUGAUGAUGCGUAUCCCUCCUUCGAAAUUGCGGUGCUGAGAUGAUGAUAAGGUAGAAGCUUGUGUGGAAUAAGGCUGCAGCCAAAACGGAAUGAAUAUUUGUUUUCUUUGAACUGGAACGGCAACAGUGGCAGCAUAGACGAUCGUCUCGAACAUGACGACUGCAACGAACCGACAUGGAACCGCGGACAAUAACUUAAAUAACAACUAUGCAUAAGCACAAAUAUACUUAUAGUUUAUUUCCUAA